AGCAGUAGCCACGGGAAUACGAAGGGGGCUAGCGUUGUUCGGAAUCACUGGGCGUAAAGGGUGCGUAGGCGGGAUCUUAAGUCAGGGGUGAAAUCCCGAGGCUCAACCUCGGAACUGCCUUUGAUACUGGGGUCCUUGAGUCCGGAAGAGGUGAGUGGAACUGCGAGUGUAGAGGUGAAAUUCGUAGAUAUUCGCAAGAACACCGGUGGCGAAGGCGGCUCACUGGUCCGGAACUGACGCUGAGGCACGACAGCGUGGGGAGCAAACAGGAUUAGAGACCCCCGUAGUCCCGUCUCUUAUACA
Molecule: ribosomal RNA, 303 nt
Filed under: uncultured bacterium
Lineage: Bacteria
Description: partial 16S ribosomal RNA
Rfam family: Bacterial small subunit ribosomal RNA
Source: RNAcentral